AACGUAGGACGCAAGCGUUAUCCGGAGUUACUGGGCGUAAAGGGCGUGUAGGCGGCGCUGCAAGUUCGUCGUGAAAGACCCCGGCUCAACCGGGGGAGGUCGAGGGAGACUGCGGCGCUGGAGGACGGUAGAGGGACAGGGAAUUCCGGGUGUAGUGGUGAAAUGCGUAGAUAUCCGGAGGAACACCGGUGGCGAAGGCGGCUUCCUGGACCGACACUGACGCUGAGGCGCGAAAGCUAGGGGAGCAAACGGG
RNAcentral lists this ribosomal RNA (253 nucleotides) under uncultured bacterium. RNAcentral describes it as "partial 16S ribosomal RNA". It matches the Rfam family "Bacterial small subunit ribosomal RNA", at positions 524 to 776 of the family's 1533-position model. The record is from RNAcentral.